This 266-nucleotide ribosomal RNA is filed under the name uncultured archaeon. RNAcentral's name for it is "partial 16S ribosomal RNA". It matches the Rfam family "Archaeal small subunit ribosomal RNA", at positions 717 to 982 of the family's 1478-position model. The record is from RNAcentral.
ACACGUCUACAUUAGACUACCCCCGUAGUCCCAGCCGUAAACUAUGCGCGUUAGGUGUAUCGGUGACCACGAGUUACCGAGGUGCCGAAGGGAAACCGUGAAACGUGCCGCCUGGGAAGUACGGUCGCAAGGCUAGAAACUUAAAGGAAUUGGCGGGGAGCACCACAACAGGUGGAGCCUGCGGUUUAAUUGGACUCAACGCCGGGAAGCUCACCGGAUAGGACAGCAGAAUGAUUGCCGGGCUGAAGACCCUGCAUGACUAGCUG